Molecule: transfer RNA, 60 nt
Filed under: Sogatella furcifera (white-backed planthopper)
Lineage: Eukaryota; Metazoa; Arthropoda; Insecta; Hemiptera; Delphacidae
Description: tRNA-Asp
Source: RNAcentral
GAGAGUUUAGUUUAAUAAAAACAUUAAAAUGUCAAAUUAAAAUUACUUAGUUGUAUCUCU